This 440-nucleotide ribosomal RNA is filed under the name uncultured bacterium. Its description in RNAcentral is "bacterial SSU rRNA". It matches the Rfam family "Bacterial small subunit ribosomal RNA", at positions 338 to 794 of the family's 1533-position model. The record is from RNAcentral.
CCUACGGGUGGCAGCAGUGAGGAAUAUUGGUCAAUGGGCGAAAGUCUGACCCAGCAACGCCGCGUGAAGGAUGAAGGCCUUCGGGUCGUAAACUUCUUUUAGGGGAGACGAGAAAGGACGGUAUCCCCUGAAUAAGCCACGGCUAACUACGUGCCAGCAGCCGCGGUAAAACGUAGGUGGCGAGCGUUAUCCGGAUUCAUUGGGCGUAAAGAGCUUGUAGGUGGUGCGAUAAGUUGGACGUGAAAACUCCGGGCUUAACUUGGAGAGGCCGUUCAAUACUGUUGUGCUAGAGGGCGUCAGAGGGAAGUGGAAUUCCUGGUGUAGCAGUGAAAUGCGUAGAUAUCAGGAGGAACACCCGUGGCGAAGGCGGCUUCCUGGGACGUACCUGACACUGAGAAGCGAAAGCUAGGGGAGCAAACGGGAUUAGAUACCCGGGUAGU